CAUCUACUGCUGGAGGUGUAACUCCAGUCCGACAGUCUACAACAGUGACGGCUUCAAGUAAUCGGCUGUGUCUGUGGAGGAUCCCAAGGUCCAGGGGGAAGGAUGGCAUAGCACGCCCAAACAUCAGUUAUUCCCCAUUGGGAGACAUUGGGAGGCUAGCGAGCAUACACAGCAAAGCUCCGUGCUGCGCCAAUCAGUUAACCUGGCGCUUUACUUGACUAUUGUGGCAGAAGAGUCUCAAGUUGCUGUCUGGGAAAUAGCCAAUAUAAGCAUGUUAACCCUGAAAUGUAAGCAUUUCCAUUCCUGCAGGGUUAAGCAGACUGGGAG
Non-coding RNA from Pelobates cultripes (western spadefoot toad), 327 nucleotides. NCBI's taxonomy places the organism in Eukaryota, Metazoa, Chordata, Amphibia, Anura, Pelobatidae. The record is from the annotation of a GenBank genome assembly.